UAGCAGCGUGGUAUUGACUUGUCGGUCUCCUCAGCUGAUUCCCUGGCGAGUGCUCUGCAAUGGGUGGAGUGCUAGGCACGCACAUCACAUGCCCAUCCACCUCUUGCUUCGCGUGCGCUAAUAUAUAUAUUCACCUGAGCCAGGUCGCUGUUUCAUCAUCGUGCUUGACUGCAGUCUGCAGGGGGUGUGGCCGCGCUGCAGCCUGCCUGUCAAUCUCGAUCGAUCAAGGGGUGGCGUGCCGAGAUGGCGGACCGGCCGUCGCUUCCUGCUCUCAUUAUUGCUAUCGCCGUUCUUGCUGGCAGUUACUGCCGCGUGGCGAGCUCGGCCUCGCCGGCGGUGGAAGAUGAGCUGCGCGGUGGAGGAGGAGCCGGCGGUCCGACGACGAUGCGGCGGCGCGCGGCGUCGGUGAUGGUGCCCAUCACCAUCCUCAAGUCCGCUGUUAGCGACGGAGCUGUGUGCAUGGAUGGAACGCCACCUGCUUACCACUUGGAUCCUGGCUCCGGAGCGGGCAGCAGAAGCUGGAUUGUGAACUUAGAGGGAGGUGCGUGGUGCAACAGCGCCAAGACAUGCCGGCUCACCAGGAGCUCCGGCCGUGGCUCGUCGGACCACAUGGACAAAGAGAUCCCCUUCACCGGCAUCAUGAGCAGUAGCCGUGCCGUGAAUCCUGAUUUCUACAACUGGAACCGGGUCAAGGUUCGCUACUGUGACGGUGGAUCUUUUGCCGGCGAGGCCUUCGACAAGGACACUGGGAUCUACUUCCGAGGGCAGCGCAUCUGGAACGCGGUCAUCCGGCACCUCCUCUCCAUUGGGAUGGCCAACGCUGACCAGGUGCUGCUCGCCGGCUGCUCCUCGGGCGGUCUGGCGGUGAUACUGCACUGCGACCAGCUCCGCGCCUUCUUCCCGUCCGGCUCCACCGUCGUCAAGUGCAUCUCCGACGGCGGCCUCUACCUCGACGCCGUGGACGUCUCCGGGGGCCGCAGCCUGAGAUCCUACUUCGGAGACAUUGUGGCCAUGCAAGGAAUAGCUCAGAACCUGCCGCCGGCUUGCACCGCCCGCCUCGACGCCACCUCGUGCUUCUUCCCGCAGAACAUAAUCGACGGCGUUAAAACCCCACUGUUCCUGCUAAAUGCCGCAUACGACUUCAUUCAGAUUGUGCUCAGCCUGGCGCCAGACAGAGCUGACCCAAGCGGCGCUUGGCGAGCCUGCAAGUCCAACCGCACGGCCUGCAGCGCAUCCCAGAUGAGUUUCCUGCAAGUGCAGAUUUCAGGGACCAGAUGGUAGCGUCCGUCAAAGGCUUCUCCGGUUCCAGGAGCAACGGGGUCUUCCUAAGCUCCUGCUUCGCGCACUGCCAGUCCGAGCAGCUGGGCACCUGGAACACCAAACCAGGUGGCUCCCCCACCAUUCAAAACAAGGGGAUUUCAAAAUCCGUUGGCGACUGGUACUUUGAUCGAGCUGAGGUGAAGGCGGUCGACUGCCGCUAUCCCUGCGACAACACUUGCCACCACAUUAUAUGAGAGGAUCCACGUUUUUUUAUUAUUUUAUGCAUAGGGAAGAACAUUCGCUCUCUCAACGAAGUGUACAUCGUAUUUGAUUUUGGGAAUGCAAUUGGAUACAGCCAUCAAAUGAACACAACACGCGAAAAUAAAUGGUAAUGGCGUGUUCCAGUAAGACAAUUGAGUGAUUCAA
This is an RNA transcript of Zea mays, 1686 nucleotides long. It is a transcript of the gene named carboxylic ester hydrolase, with no coding region annotated. Lineage: Eukaryota; Viridiplantae; Streptophyta; Magnoliopsida; Poales; Poaceae. The record is from RefSeq and is marked provisional. The transcript has 11 exons.